UGUCUUGUAAUUGGAAUGAUGGGAAUUUAAACCUCUUCCAGAGUAUCAAUUGGAGGGCAAGUCUGGUGCCAGCAGCCGCGGUAAUUCCAGCUCCAAUAGCGUAUAUUAAAAUUGUUGCAGUUAAAAAGCUCGUAGUUGAAUUUCUGCUGCAUUGCUUUUGCUCCUUUACGAGUCUUUGCAUUGUGGCUUAUUUCGGACUUUGUUUUACAAUGUCCGGAUGUUUACUUUGAGAAAAUUAGAGUGCUCAAAGCAGGCUUUCGCCUUGAAUAGUUUAGCAUGGAAUAAUAAAGUAGGACUUUGGUUCUAUUUUGUUGGUUUUAGGUACCAAAGUAAUGGUUAAUAGGAACAGUUGGGGGCAUUCGUAUUUAACUGUCAGAGGUGAAAUUCUUAGAUUUGUUAAAGACGAACUACUGCGAAAGCAUUUGCCAAGGAUGUUUUCAUUAAUCAAGAACGAAAGUUAGGGGAUCGAAGACGAUCAGAUACCGUCGUAGUCCUAACCAUA
RNAcentral lists this ribosomal RNA (502 nucleotides) under Theileria ovis. Its description in RNAcentral is "SSU rRNA". It matches the Rfam family "Eukaryotic small subunit ribosomal RNA", at positions 499 to 1034 of the family's 1831-position model. The record is from RNAcentral. Lineage: Eukaryota; Apicomplexa; Aconoidasida; Piroplasmida; Theileriidae.